Molecule: ribosomal RNA, 468 nt
Filed under: uncultured bacterium
Lineage: Bacteria
Description: partial 16S ribosomal RNA
Rfam family: Bacterial small subunit ribosomal RNA
Source: RNAcentral
GACGAACGCUGGCGGCGUGCUUAACACAUGCAAGUCGAACGGAAAGGCCCUGCUUUUGUGGGGUGCUCGAGUGGCGAACGGGUGAGUAACACGUGAGUAACCUGCCCUUGACUUUGUGAUAACUUCAGGAAACUGGGGCUAAUACCGGAUAGGAGCUCCUGCUGCAUGUUGGGGGUUGGAAAGUUUCGGCGUUUGGGGAUGGACUCGAGGCUUAUCAGCUUGUUGGUGAGGUAGUGGCUUACCAAGGCUUUGACGGGUAGCCGGCCUGGGAGGGUGACCGGCCACAUUGGGCCUGCGAUACGGCCCAGACUCCUACGGGAGGCAGCAGUGGGGAAUAUUGCACAAUGGGCGGAAGCCUGAUGCAGCAACGCCGCGUGCGGGAUGACGGCCUUCGGGUUGUAAACCGCUUUCGCCUGUGACGAAGCGUGAGUGACGGUAAUGGGUAAAGAAGCACCGGCUAACUACGUG